UAUGGGAGAAUUAAAAAAAAUGAUGAUUCAGAAUCAGAUAUUGCACGCUGUGAAAUAAAAUAUGUGCAGAGUGCCUUUAUAGCUCAGAUUAUUAAUACUAUAGCACAAUUAGAAGAGGUUAUGUACCAUUUUACAUAAGAUUUUGGGAGGUUGUUCUGAUGCAGGAAAAAGCAAAAAAUAAAAAAACCUUAUCUCACCCAAAACUGGGGGAAGUUACAAGCAGAAGAGGUCAUGUACCAUUUUACAUAAGAUUUUGGGAGGUUGUUCUGAUGCAGGAAAAAGCAAAAAAUAAAAAAACCUUAUCUCACCCAAAACUGGGGGAAGUUACAAGCAGAAGACAAGGGUGAUGAUAUCAACAGUUGAAAGGAGUGGAAUGUUGCAUAUCCUAACAAAAAUCUGUGUUAGACUGGGUAAAAAAAUUAAAAAAAAAAAAAAGCGGCUGAAGGACCUAUGAAACCAGAAGAGAGAACUACUCUGUGUCUUACUUUGCACAGAAAAACAGAAUAUAGGAUAAAGAAUAUCCCUUCUCCUUUUAUUGGUCAGAAAGGGCUAUCAAUUAUGAAAAGUUGACAAAACUAGGGCAUACAGAAAGAAAGGAAUACUUAUGUCAUUUUUGACUCUAAGAGCAGCAAGCCCAUU
RNAcentral lists this long non-coding RNA (639 nucleotides) under Coffea arabica (coffee). Its description in RNAcentral is "long non-coding RNA (CARA_LNC003724)". The record is from RNAcentral. Lineage: Eukaryota; Viridiplantae; Streptophyta; Magnoliopsida; Gentianales; Rubiaceae.